CAAUUCUUCCAGCCAGACCCUUGAAUGCGAAAAGGAAGGUAUAGGGCAGUGCAGGCUUUCUGUUUUUAAUGUUUCUGUUAAAUUGAGUUUGUUUAAUAUUUUUUUUUUUUAUAUUUACUAGCUAAACAUUCCAUCGGUACGAUUUGUGAUAUUAUAUCCUCUUAUAAAUUUUUAUAAAUACAUACAUAUUAUUUUUUAUUUUAUGUGAGCUUUUUAUUAUAUCAAAAU
RNAcentral lists this long non-coding RNA (228 nucleotides) under Phaseolus vulgaris (common bean). RNAcentral's name for it is "long non-coding RNA (PVUL_LNC004886)". Lineage: Eukaryota; Viridiplantae; Streptophyta; Magnoliopsida; Fabales; Fabaceae. The record is from RNAcentral.